Molecule: ribosomal RNA, 352 nt
Filed under: Acanthamoeba genotype T4
Lineage: Eukaryota; Discosea; Longamoebia; Acanthamoebidae
Description: SSU rRNA
Rfam family: Eukaryotic small subunit ribosomal RNA
Source: RNAcentral
CCUAUUUUCAGUUGGUUUUGGCAGCGCGAGGACUAGGGUAAUGAUUAAUAGGGAUAGUUGGGGGCAUUAAUAUUUAAUUGUCAGAGGUGAAAUUCUUGGAUUUAUGAAAGAUUAACUUCUGCGAAAGCAUCUGCCAAGGAUGUUUUCAUUAAUCAAGAACGAAAGUUAGGGGAUCGAAGACGAUCAGAUACCGUCGUAGUCUUAACCAUAAACGAUGCCGACCAGCGAUUAGGAGACGUUGAAUACAAAACACCACCAUCGGUUGCGGUCGUCCUUGGCGUCGGUUUCGGCCGGCGCGGGGACGGUUUAGCCCGGUGGCACCGGUGAAUGACUCCCUAGCAGCUUGUGAGAA